AUGGAGACGUGUGUGUGUGUGUGUCUAUACGUGUGUGUGCGCCCAAAGCUAACCCGCCGCGACCGACCGCAGCUCCGCAGGAGCAACACACCCAGUGUUACGGCUGAAACCCGUCUCACGGCGAGUGAGGAAACUAAAGCCGCUUUCGCACUUGGACGCCGCAAUGAUGCCAUGUUCAAUUAUCCAGCUCUCCUCCACUCCCCCUCACUCUUCAUGCAGAUGAGCAGUCGGCCAGGUGCAACACAGGGGAAGUUAGCGCCUCCUCAGCACAGCGACACACUAUUUGCAUGCAAAACGCCGGGCUUAGGCUGCAAAAUGUGUGAACACAGCUGCACAGCCCCCACAGCGCGAGGCCAGGCCAGGAGCACAGCUGGCCAGACUUGGUGGAGCCAGUCGACAGGCGCAUGGAGCGCAGCCCGCCCAGGGCCCGCUUCCUUCGCAAACAUGCCCAGGUGUGGGGCCUCUGAGCUGGGCUUCUGA
Gasterosteus aculeatus (three-spined stickleback) is the source of this 480-nucleotide long non-coding RNA. Lineage: Eukaryota; Metazoa; Chordata; Actinopteri; Perciformes; Gasterosteidae. The record is from Ensembl.